CUCCGCGCGACCCGGCGGGCCCGCCUCCGCCGCCGGGUGCACGCACAGCCUGCGCCUCGUGCCGGAGCAGAGCAGAGGCCAGGAUGCGGAGUUGUGCACUUUGAGCCGGCCCCAUGACCCUGAGCACCUUGGCCCGCAAGAGGAAGGCGCCCCUCGCUUGCACCUGCAGCCUCGGUGGCCCCGACAUGAUUCCUUACUUCUCCGCCAACGCGGUCAUCUCGCAGAACGCCAUCAACCAGCUCAUCAGCGAGAGCUUUCUAACUGUCAAAGGUGCUGCCCUUUUUCUACCACGGGGAAAUGGCUCAUCCACACCAAGAAUCAGCCACAGACGGAACAAGCAUGCAGGCGAUCUCCAACAGCAUCUCCAAGCAAUGUUCAUAUUACUCCGCCCAGAAGACAACAUCAGGCUGGCUGUAAGACUGGAAAGUACUUACCAGAAUCGAACACGCUAUAUGGUAGUGGUUUCAACUAAUGGUAGACAAGACACUGAAGAAAGCAUCGUCCUAGGAAUGGAUUUCUCCUCUAAUGACAGUAGCACUUGUACCAUGGGCUUAGUUUUGCCUCUCUGGAGCGACACGCUAAUUCAUUUGGAUGGUGAUGGUGGGUUCAGUGUAUCGACGGAUAACAGAGUUCACAUAUUCAAACCUGUAUCUGUGCAGGCAAUGUGGGUUGACAGGGGUUCAAGAAACAAACACUGUGAUGUACUAUUGGUGGAAGAAUGAACUGGAGCAGCCUUUCUGGAGAGUGAUUUGCCAAUAUGCCUUAUCAUUUUGCAUGAUCUUUGUCCUAGUAACUCUAUUUCUAUGGAUUUACUCUAAGUUUGUAAACAUGGAUGUGUGCAAAGAUUUUAGCUCUAAGAAUGUUUGUCAGUGUUCUAAUAAUAGCAAAAAAUAAAAAACAAAUGAUUGAAAAA
RNAcentral lists this small RNA (913 nucleotides) under Pan troglodytes (chimpanzee). RNAcentral describes it as "processed transcript". The record is from RNAcentral. Lineage: Eukaryota; Metazoa; Chordata; Mammalia; Primates; Hominidae.